RNAcentral lists this ribosomal RNA (399 nucleotides) under bacterium enrichment culture clone ALO1_GLFRUDD03HJ47X. Its description in RNAcentral is "bacterial SSU rRNA". It matches the Rfam family "Bacterial small subunit ribosomal RNA", at positions 9 to 410 of the family's 1533-position model. The record is from RNAcentral.
GAGUUUGAUCCUGGCUCAGAUUGAACGCUGGCGGCAGGCCUAACACAUGCAAGUCGAGCGGAUGACGGGAGCUUGCUCCUUGAUUCAGCGGCGGACGGGUGAGUAAUGCCUAGGAAUCUGCCUGGUAGUGGGGGACAACGUUUCGAAAGGAACGCUAAUACCGCAUACGUCCUACGGGAGAAAGCAGGGGACCUUCGGGCCUUGCGCUCUUGGAGCGGCCGAUGUCGGAUUAGCUAGUUGGUGAGGUAAAGGCUCACCAAGGCGACGAUCCGUAGCAGGUCUGAGAGGAUGAACUGCCACACUGGAACUGAGACACGGUCCAGACUCCUACGGGAGGCAGCAGUGGGGAAUUUUGGACAAUGGGGGCAACCCUGAUCCAGCCAUGCCGCGUGAGUGAAG